RNAcentral lists this ribosomal RNA (332 nucleotides) under uncultured bacterium. RNAcentral describes it as "bacterial SSU rRNA". It matches the Rfam family "Bacterial small subunit ribosomal RNA", at positions 568 to 898 of the family's 1533-position model. The record is from RNAcentral.
CGUGUAGGCGGUUGGUCAAGUCGGGUGUGAAAGCCUGGGGCUCAGCCCCAGAAGUGCAUCCGAAACUAGCCAGCUAGAGCGCGAUAGAGGAGGGUGGAAUUCCUGGUGUAGCGGUGAAAUGCGUAGAUAUCAGGAGGAACACCGGCGGCGAAGGCGGCCCUCUGGAUCGUUGCUGACGCUGAGACGCGAAAGCGUGGGGAGCAAACAGGAUUAGAUACCCUGGUAGUCCACGCCCUAAACGAUGGGUACUAGGUGUUCGGGGUGUUGACCCCCUGAGUGCCGCAGUUAACGCAUUAAGUACCCCGCCUGGGGACUACGGCCGCAAGGUUAAA